This 305-nucleotide ribosomal RNA is filed under the name uncultured bacterium. RNAcentral's name for it is "bacterial SSU rRNA". It matches the Rfam family "Bacterial small subunit ribosomal RNA", at positions 337 to 642 of the family's 1533-position model. The record is from RNAcentral.
GCCUACGGGGCGCAGCAGUGGGGGAUAUUGCACAAUGGGGGAAACCCUGAUGCAGCAACGCCGCGUGAGUGAAGAAGGUCUUCGGAUUGUAAACCUCUUUUGUCGGGGAGCAAAAGCCGGACGUGUCCGGCUGUGAGAGUACCCGAAGAAAAAGCAUCGGCUAACUCCGUGCCAGCAGCCGCGGUAAUACGGAGGAUGCGAGCGUUAUCCGGAUUUAUUGGGUUUAAAGGGUGCGCAGGCGGAUUUUUAAGUCAGCGGUCAACUCGUGGGGCUCAACCCCAUCCAGCCGUUGAAACUGGGGAUCU